CUACGGGUUGCUGCAGUGAGGAAUAUUGCACAAUGGGGGGAACCCUGAUGCAGCAACGCCGCGUGGAGGAUGACGCAUUUCGGUGUGUAAACUCCUUUUAUGAGUCAAGAAAAUGACGGUAGCUCAUGAAUAAGCACCGGCUAACUCCGUGCCAGCAGCCGCGGUAAUACGGAGGGUGCAAGCGUUACUCGGAGUCACUGGGCGUAAAGGACGCGUAGGCGGGAUAACAAGUCAGGUGUGAAAUCCUACAGCUUAACUGUAGAACUGCACUUGAAACUGGUAACCUAGAGUAUGGGAGGGGGAGAUGGAAUUAGUGGUGUAGGGGUAAAAUCCGUAGAUAUCACUAGGAAUACCUAAAGCGAAGGCGAUCUCCUGGAACAUAACUGACGCUAAGGCGUGAAAGCGUGGGGAGCAAACAGGAUUAGAUACCCUAGUAGUC
Molecule: ribosomal RNA, 439 nt
Filed under: uncultured bacterium
Lineage: Bacteria
Description: partial 16S ribosomal RNA
Rfam family: Bacterial small subunit ribosomal RNA
Source: RNAcentral